UGGUCAAGUUAUUAAGGGUGCAGGGCGGAUGCCUUGGCACUAGGAGCCGAUGAAGGACGUGAUAAGCUGCGAUAAGCUUCGGGGAGUUGCACGUAAACUUUGAUCCGAAGAUUUCCGAAUGAGGAAACUCACUUAGAGUAAUGUCUAAGUAUCAUUAAGUGAAUACAUAGCUUAAUGAGGGGAACUCAGGGAACUGAAACAUCUAAGUACCUGAAGGAAGAGAAAGAAAUUCGAUUCCGUAAGUAGCGGCGAGCGAACGCGGAUUAGCCCAAACCAAUAAAGUUUUCUUUAUUGGGGUUGCGGACAUAUCAUAACGGAGAGGUAUCGUAAUUGAAGAGGUUUGGAAAGACCCACCACAGAAGGUAAUAGUCCUGUAUGUUAAACGAGAAGACUUUAGAUAUGAUCCAGAGUACCACGGGACACGUGAAACCCUGUGGGAAGCAGGAGGGACCACCCUCCAAGGCUAAAUACUACCUAGUGACCGAUAGCGUAUAGUACCGUGAGGGAAAGGUGAAAAGAACCCCGGGAGGGGAGUGAAAUAGAACCUGAAACCCUGCACUUACAAGCUGUGGAAGCACAUUUCUUGUGUGACCGCGUACUUUUUGUAGAACGGGCCAACGAGUUACGUUAAGUAGCAAGGUUAAGCACUUAAGGUGCGGAGCCGUAGCGAAAGCGAGUUUUAAC
This 684-nucleotide ribosomal RNA is filed under the name Clostridioides difficile. Its description in RNAcentral is "partial 23S ribosomal RNA". It matches the Rfam family "Bacterial large subunit ribosomal RNA", at positions 1 to 688 of the family's 2925-position model. The record is from RNAcentral. Lineage: Bacteria; Bacillati; Bacillota; Clostridia; Peptostreptococcales; Peptostreptococcaceae.